Long non-coding RNA from Mus caroli (Ryukyu mouse), 2265 nucleotides. RefSeq lists it as uncharacterized. NCBI's taxonomy places the organism in Eukaryota, Metazoa, Chordata, Mammalia, Rodentia, Muridae. The record is from RefSeq and is a predicted model, not a curated record.
CCUAGGAGCUGAGCCGAACAAGGAGCGGUGGCAGGGUGUGCGGGCGCCCUCCCUGAGCUGGAUCACUGAAGCCGAGGGCACUGCAGGGACUUCACCAGCACAAUGAUGAGACCAUUCAGCUACAUACCAAACUGGAAGGCUGGGGAUGGAGCACAAGCCUUACCUCCACACCAGAUAGAAGCCAGCUUGGUCUACACAGCAGACUCUAGGCUGGCUCGGGCUGCCGCUGUCUCUGUCAGUGACUCCAAAACCAGUAUUCCCAGGCUUCUAACACAGUGUGAAGACCAGGAACCAUGGAGACAUCCAGCUUCAAGGACAGAAUGACAACUGUGUUCUCAGCCUCUCUGGGAACGCUGGCUAAUGCACUAACUGAAAAAAAUAAUAAGAAUCAAUAAAUACAAGGAUUUGAAUCACAGCAAUAUUGAGAAUCGCCGAAAGAGUGAAACUCAGAGGACAACCGAUGUUACACGCAAGAGGAUGGUUUUGGUUUGGCGUGGGCCAGAUCCGCAAGCUUCCCUGAGAUGGUAUGUUAGAUGCUGACUGGGGCCUGGAGCCACAGAUAUCAGUGAAAUAAAAAGACCUAUGGCACGCCCCUGGGGGAGACGGACACCUAAACCAACAGCCAAGGUACAGUGUUAGAAAGUCCAACGACAGACUGUUGAGAUUUCAUUCCCGCACAACGUUGGGGAAAGAAGAGCGGAAUUAUUAUUACAGGCUGGCUCCGAGGUGCCCCCAGAUCCCGUGUCUGUUUGUGGAUGUCCUUGUUAUACUUGAUCUGAGUACCAAAGUUGAGCUGCAAUGGGUGUUCUCUUUAAAAUGGGCCAUGGCAGAGAAAGAGGCCCAUGCUAAAAGCUGUUGGGUAAGGAGCCCCAGGUUGAAGAGCAGCAGGUAGCACGAGUGGGUGAAGCAUCUAGAGAUGGGGCUGGGGAUAUGACUCAGUUGGUAGAGUGUAGCCUGCCUGCGUGGCUGAAGGCCUGGGUUUGAGCUUUAGCACCCCAUAAACUGAGCAUGGUGAUGCUCACCUGCAAUCCCAGCAUGCAAAAGGAUCAACAGAAGAGUUCAAGGCCAUCCUCAGCUAUUUCGAUAGAUAAGGAGGGUACAUAAGCUACACGAGACCCUGUCUAAAACGGAACGAAACAACAAACAAGGGCCAGGAACACGGGGAUAGGUAAAGGGAUUUCCAGGCAAGCUUAAAGACUGAACUUUGGAUUCUCAACACAUAUUUAAAUACUGCUUGCUGGGCAUGGUGGCCUUCCUGUAACUGCAGGGCUCAGGAGAUGGACACAGAGGAUUCCUGGGGUAACCUGGUUAGCUGAACCAGCAAGCUCUGGGGUGAGAUGAGACCCUGACUCAGUAUAAAAGGUAGGAAGUGAUUGUGAAAGACAACUCAACGUCAAUGACACACACACACACACACACACACACACACACACACAAAUCUGGGAAAGCUGUGGCAGGCAUCCAGCAGGAGAUGGCAAAGACAGGGCGGUGGCAAGGAUUACACAUCCAGUGUCCAGGUCAGCCUUGCUUGCAUUCUUUGCUGCAGACCCACAGCCGAUCCAGUCCUUCUCCAGCAAGGAUAUCAGAAGUGUGCCCCUGCCUGGGUUCUUUCCCCAGCACAGGGACCGAGGCUCUUACACUUUUCCCAGCCAGGACUGCCCCAGCUGGAUUCCUGGUCUCCUCUCAAUUCCCUAUUCUAUCUCCCCACAUGAAGUCUGGAACAGCCCUGGCUAGAUGAGGUAACUCCUCCACACCUGCCCUCCUCAUUCUUGGCUGAAACCCUGUGUGGUCUGUGAAGCUCUGGGCAUGCCCAGGACUGGCCCAGAAGGGGACGGAGUGUGGGGAUGGAGGCAUCACUGGAGAUGCUGCCAUGUCUCCACAUGCUCACUGUAGCCCAGCAACCUUUGGGACUGCCCACUUCUCGGGCAUCAUUAACAGGUGUGUCCCAGAACCAGACAGUUGCUAGUGUCAUAUGCGUGGGUCACCUCUGCUAUGCCAAUAGUUAAUUUUAGCACCAGCCACUUCUCUUUGGGCAUGCUAGUCCAAGAGGGUGAUGUUAGGCGUCUACCCGCAAAGUUCAUCCUGAGGUAGUCAAUCACAAGGGAGAGAGGUGGGGCUGGCCCUGGGCUCACGUGCUAUGGCCACACCUCAAGCAGAGCACUUUACAAAUCUUUUAGGUUUUUCCUUUUCUUCCUCUUUUCCAUCCUCUUUUCCCCCCCUUUCAAUCCCCCUACCUCUUAAUAAAUAUUUUUAUUUUAUUUUUAA